AGAAGGGCGUUUGGUGGAUGCCUUGGCAGUAAGAGGCGAUGAAGGACGUGAUACUCUGCGAUAAGUCAUGGGGAGCUGAGAAUAGGCUUUGAUCCAUGAAUUUCCGAAUGGGGCAACCCACUUGACAGUUUGAUAUAAUAGCCUUUCGGGGCUGCUUAUAUCUGGCUUAAUCAAGUACUUAUUACCUGAAUACAUAGGGUUUUAAGAGCAAACCCGGGGAACUGAAACAUCUAAGUACCCGGAGGAAAGGACAUCAAUAGAGACUCCCCUAGUAGCGGCGAGCGAACGGGGACCAGCCGAGCCAUGAGAGUGACUAGAACACGUUGGGAAGCGUGGCCAUAGCGGGUGAUAGCCCCGUAUAGGAAGCUCGAUUGGACGUAUUAAGUAGGGCGGAACACGUGAAAUUCUGUCUGAAGAUCGGGGGACCACCCCCGAAGGCUAAGUACUCCUUACUGACCGAUAGCGAACCAGUACCGUGAGGGAAAGGUGAAAAGCACCCCGACGAGGGGAGUGAAACAGUACCUGAAACCGAACGCCUACAAUCAGUCGGAGGAUCCUCGAGAUCUGACGGCGUACCUUUUGUAUAAUGGGUCAUCGACUUGGUCUAUCUAGCAAGCUUAAGCCGAUAGGUGUAGGCGCAGCGAAAGCGAGUCUUAAUAGGGCGCAUGAGUUAGAUGGAUCAGACCCGAAACCGAGUGAUCUAGGCAUGACCAGGAUGAAGGUUAGGUAACACUAACUGGAGGUCCGAACCCACACCUGUUGAAAAAGGUCGGGAUGAGUUGUGCCUAGGGGUGAAAGGCCAAUCAAACUCGGAGAUAGCUGGUUCUCCGCGAAAUCUAUUUAGGUAGAGCGUCAUCCGAAUACCCCGGGGGGUAGAGCACUGGAUGGGUAAUGGGGCCCCACAGGCUUACUGAUCCUAACCAAACUCCGAAUACCCGGGAGUACUAGAUGGCAGACACACUGCGGAUGCUAACGUCCGUAGUGGAGAGGGAAACAACCCUGACCUACAGCUAAGGCCCCUAAUUCAUGGCUAAGUGGGAAAGCAGGUGGGACGACCAAAACAACCAGGAGGUUGGCUUAGAAGCAGCCAUCCUUUAAAGAUAGCGUAACAGCUCACUGGUCUAAAUAAGUUGUCCUGCGGCGAAGAUGUAACGGGGCUCAAGCCAUGAGCCGAAGCUUAGGAUGCCGUAAGGCAUGGUAGCGGAGCGUAGUGUGACAUAGGUUCUAUCCUCCUUAGCGUUCUUCGGAGCGCAUUGGAGGAUCCAGAACCUUUCGAUGAAGCCGGGCUGUAAGGCAUCCGGUGGAGAGAUCACUAGCGAGAAUGAUGACAUGAGUAGCGACAAAGAGUGUGAGAGACACUCUCGCCGAAAGUCCAAGGGUUCCUGCUUAAAGCUAAUCUGAGCAGGGUAAGCCGGCCCCUAAGGCGAGGCCGAAAGGCGUAGUCGAUGGGAACCAGGUUAAUAUUCCUGGGCCGUGUGGUGGUGACGGAUCGUGGCGACGCAUGUUCCUUAUCGGAUUGGAGCAUGUUCAAGACGGUUCCUGGAAAUAGCCCCACUUUAAGACCGUACCCUAAACCGACACAGGUGGACUGGUAGAGAAUACCAAGGCGCUUGAGAGAACGAUGUUGAAGGAACUCGGCAAAAUACCUCCGUAAGUUCGCGAGAAGGAGGCCCGGCGUAAGAGCGUCGGGGGCACAAACCAGGGGGUGGCGACUGUUUAUUAAAAACACAGGGCUCUGCGAAGUCGCAAGACGACGUAUAGGGUCUGACGCCUGCCCGGUGCCUGAAGGUUAAAAGGAGGGGUGCAAGCUCUGAAUUGAAGCCCAGGUAAACGGCGGCCGUAACUAUAACGGUCCUAAGGUAGCGAAAUUCCUUGUCGGGUAAGUUCCGACCUGCACGAAUGGCGUAACGACUUCCCCGCUGUCUCCAACAUCGACUCAGCGAAAUUGAAUUGCCUGUCAAGAUGCAGGCUUCCCGCGGUUAGACGGAAAGACCCCGUGCACCUUUACUACAGCUUCGCACUGGCAUCAGGCACAGUAUGUGCAGGAUAGGUGGUGGGCUUUGAAGCAGGAACGCCAGUUCCUGUGGAGCCUCCCUUGAGAUACCACCCUUAUUCUGCUUGAUGUCUAACCGCGGUCCGUUAUCCGGAUCCGGGACCCUGCGUGGCGGGUAGUUUGACUGGGGCGGUCGCCUCCUAAAGCGUAACGGAGGCGCGCGAAGGUUGGCUCAGAGCGGUCGGAAAUCGCUCGUUGAGUGCAAUGGCAGAAGCCAGCCUGACUGCAAGACUGACAAGUCGAGCAGAGUCGAAAGACGGCCAUAGUGAUCCGGUGGUCCCAAGUGGGAGGGCCAUCGCUCAACGGAUAAAAGGUACGCCGGGGAUAACAGGCUGAUACUGCCCAAGAGUCCAUAUCGACGGCAGUGUUUGGCACCUCGAUGUCGGCUCAUCUCAUCCUGGGGCUGGAGCAGGUCCCAAGGGUACGGCUGUUCGCCGUUUAAAGAGGUACGUGAGCUGGGUUUAGAACGUCGUGAGACAGUUCGGUCCCUAUCUGCCGUGGGUGUAGGAUACUUGAGAGGAGUUGCCCCUAGUACGAGAGGACCGGGGUGAACGAUCCACUGGUGGACCAGUUGUCGUGCCAACGGCAGUGCUGGGUAGCUAUGAUCGGACAGGAUAACCGCUGAAGGCAUCUAAGCGGGAAGCCCCCCUCAAAACAAGGUAUCCCUGAGAGCCGUGGAAGACCACCACGUCGAUAGGCCGGAGAUGUAAGUGCAGCAAUGCAUUCAGUUGACCGGUACUAAUGGCUCGAUAGGCUUGAUU
RNAcentral lists this ribosomal RNA (2814 nucleotides) under Pseudoprimorskyibacter insulae. Its description in RNAcentral is "bacterial LSU rRNA". It matches the Rfam family "Bacterial large subunit ribosomal RNA". The record is from RNAcentral. Lineage: Bacteria; Pseudomonadati; Pseudomonadota; Alphaproteobacteria; Rhodobacterales; Paracoccaceae.